RNA transcript from Triticum aestivum (bread wheat), 2006 nucleotides. RefSeq lists it as uncharacterized. The record is from RefSeq and is a predicted model, not a curated record. The transcript has 5 exons. Lineage: Eukaryota; Viridiplantae; Streptophyta; Magnoliopsida; Poales; Poaceae.
UGUCUCCACCCCAUCGCAAACCCCUCCUCCCUUCCCCUUCUAGAUCCACCGGCGAGCCCUUCCUCACCGCAUAGCCACCCCCGCGCCCAUCCAUGGCAUCCCCCGCGCCCUUCCAUCAGCAUCCAUGGCCUCCCCCGCGCCCUUCCUCACUGCAUCGCCACCCCGACCCCCUCCCUUCCUCUCCCCGACGCCCCCUCGCUCCGGGCCUUCAUCCUCUCCGGCCAGAUCAACCGGGCGCGGCCCCUACCCUAGGCAGGGAGGGUGGAUCGCCGCUGCGCGGGCGCACGGGAAGGGGCGGCGGCGGAAGCGCAUCCCCAAGAUCUAGCCCGUCAAGCACCGUGUCGAAGUCUCUCCUUCGAGGAGCUCUAUGUGCGGGUGUGCGGAGGCGCUCGUGAGGGCGGUGGUGGCCUUCUUCGACGCCUUCCUCGUCGACUGCUUCCUCUUCUGGUUCCGCCGCUGCCGCCCCCUGCCCCGGCCCCGACAGCCCCGCCUCCGCCCACCGGGAUCCGCUCGUGCCCAAGGACUGGACAGGGGAGGCGCUCCGGGCCUCGGACGAAGAGAAAGGUUUUGCAGAGAGCACAUUGUCGAACCAGCAGAUGGCGAUGACACAGAUGAGGAGCUUAGGCGAGAGGUACGCCUAGCAGAGCACCGUUAAAUGAAUUUCUGUUACUUUUUCAGUCACAUGCGUGAGGAAUGGUUGUGUUGUGCGGUUAUUGUUACUGUCAGGUUGUAGCUCUAGGUCGAUUGUGUUGUGGCUGACCUCUCUGCUGCUGGUUGGACGCCUGUGUGAUACUGUUUCAAGUUUUGCAGAGAGCACAGGCUCGAAUGAACAGUGUGUGUGGAACGAAUUCUUGUCUGAAUUCUCUUCUUGUGGGAGUAUGAACUUGCUUGCAGUAUAUUGGAGUAUCAACUUGGAGCAUCUAGUUAGAGUAGCAUCUUGCAACACAUUCGAUUACUCUAGUACUGAUAGUUACAGUAGAAUCUUGCAAAAUGGAGUAGUUAGAGUAGCAUCUUCGAUUAACUAAAUUGAUGAUAGUUGUUGUUAAGUUGGGACUUGCAAGCAGUAGUGCUUGCAAGCAGUAGUUCCCUCUUCUUAUCUCUUCUUGCUUGCAGUAGUUUAAUUUAUGGUUUGUCUUUAGUGGAGUAUUUCUUGAACUGUGUUGUAUUCCUGUGACUAAAUGGUGAAUCCAGUUACAGCAAAGCAUCAUCUCCUUGUCAGCUUAAGUGUAAUGGAGCUGUUUUGUUACUCUAUGCCUACUUCGUUACAGUUUGCAUCAUCAUCUUGUCGUUUAUAGCAUAAACGCCUUCACUAUUCUUGCUCUGAACCUUUGAUCCUGAUACUGAUUGUAUUUGUCUUGAUGGAAUUAUAGGCAACAUGGUGAAUCUAGUACAGGCAUCGUUGGCCAUCCUCUUCGAGGCUGUGUUUAGGUGAUUCCUCGGGUAGCCAUGACACUACUCUGGCUGAUUAGUACCCAGUGGCAUGUUUGUAAUAUUUACAGGGAUUUUACUUGUAGAAAUAAUGCUCAUGGUAUAUUUUUAUGUCCUGCAGCACAUGCUCUUUUUCGGUCUGUACGGAAUCUUGAAUGGUGUUUUGGCAGCUGGGAUAUUAGAUUGCACUUCUUUAUGUGAUUUACUCAUGAUGAGCUGCAGCAGGACGACCUGUAGCGGAAGGACUUCAAGGGCAAGAUCAAGGAGAACCAGGAGAUGAUCACCGGUUACCUCAUCCUCGUCGGCAUGGUUGGCUCCUUUGGCACACCCCUCUUCGGCUCCCACCAACUUACUUUUGUCGCUGGCUAGCAGCAUUUCCAGGUGUUGCGUGUUCUGGAAGAUGGAAGAGGAAGAAAAUUUAUUUUUGUUGAACUAUUUUUUUGUAUUAUGUUUUGUUGUACAUAUGAUUUGAUAGUUUUGUAUAGGAACAUGUGAUACUAUUUUGUAGGGCUUUACAGCCUGUGAUGUAAACAUAUUUAGUGAUGAAUUAUGAAAUUAUUUGCAAAAUUUAUCGAAAA